RNAcentral lists this ribosomal RNA (253 nucleotides) under uncultured bacterium. RNAcentral describes it as "partial 16S ribosomal RNA". It matches the Rfam family "Bacterial small subunit ribosomal RNA", at positions 524 to 776 of the family's 1533-position model. The record is from RNAcentral.
UACGUAGGCAGCAAGCGUUGUCCGGAAUUAUUGGGCGUAAAGAGCUCGUAGGCGGUCUGUCGCGUCGGCUGUGAAAACCCGGAGCUCAACUCCGGGCCUGCAGUCGAUACGGGCAGACUGGAGUUCGGCAGGGGAGACUGGAAUUCCUGGUGUAGCGGUGAAAUGCGCAGAUAUCAGGAGGAACACCAGUGGCGAAGGCGGCCGGCUGGGGGCGCCCUGACGCUGAGGCGCGAGAGCGUGGGGAGCAAACCGG